ACAGCAGCAGCCGCGGUAAUACGGAGGGGGCUAGCGUUGUUCGGAAUUACUGGGCGUAAAGCGCACGUAGGCGGCUUGGUAAGUUAGAGGUGAAAGCCCGGAGCUCAACUCCGGAAUUGCCUUUAAGACUGCCGAGCUAGUAGGUGAGAGAGGUAAGUGGAAUUCCGAGUGUAGAGGUGAAAUUCGUAGAUAUUCGGAAGAACACCAGUGGCGAAGGCGGCUUACUGGCUCAUUCUAGACGCUGAGGUGCGAAAGCGUGGGGAGCAAACAGGAUUAGAUACCCGAGUAGUCCCUGUCUCUUAUAC
This 305-nucleotide ribosomal RNA is filed under the name uncultured bacterium. RNAcentral's name for it is "partial 16S ribosomal RNA". It matches the Rfam family "Bacterial small subunit ribosomal RNA", at positions 505 to 807 of the family's 1533-position model. The record is from RNAcentral.